RNAcentral lists this ribosomal RNA (254 nucleotides) under uncultured bacterium. RNAcentral's name for it is "partial 16S ribosomal RNA". It matches the Rfam family "Bacterial small subunit ribosomal RNA", at positions 524 to 776 of the family's 1533-position model. The record is from RNAcentral.
UACGGGGGGAGCAAGCGUUGUUCGGAUUUACUAGGCGUAAAGGGCGCGUAGGCGGCCACCGCAAGUCGGUUGUGAAAUCUCCGGGCUUAACCCGGAAAGGUCAAUCGAUACUGCGGGGCUAGAGUGCAGAAGGGGCAACUGGAAUUCUCGGUGUAGCGGUGAAAUGCGUAGAUAUCGAGAGGAACACCUGCGGCGAAGGCGGGUUGCUGGGCUGACACUGACGCUGAAGCGCGAAAGCUAGGGGAGCGAACGGG